Molecule: ribosomal RNA, 539 nt
Filed under: uncultured bacterium
Lineage: Bacteria
Description: partial 16S ribosomal RNA
Source: RNAcentral
GGAGUUAGCCGGUGCUUCUUCUGUGAGUGAUGUCCUUCCUGCCGGCUAUUAACCCGCAGGCCUUCUUCCUCACUGAAAGUGCUUUACAACCCGAAGGCCUUCUUCACACACGCGGCAUGGCUGGAUCAGGGUUGCCCCCAUUGUCCAAUAUUCCCCACUGCUGCCUCCCGUAGGAGUCUGGGCCGUGUCUCAGUCCCAGUGUGGCUGAUCAUCCUCUCAGACCAGCUACGGAUCGUCGCCUUGGUGAGCCGUUACCUCACCAACCAGCUAAUCCGACAUAGGCUCAUCCGAUAGCGCGAGGCCCGAAGGUCCCCCGCUUUCCCCCGUAGGGCGUAUGCGGUAUUAGCCUGGGUUUCCCCAGGUUAUCCCCCACUACCGGGCAGAUUCCUAUGCAUUACUCACCCGUCCGCCGCUCGCCACCAGGGAGCAAGCUCCCCGUGCUGCCGCUCGACUUGCAUGUGUUAGGCCUGCCGCCAGCGUUCAAUCUGAGCCAGAAUCGAAACCUCGACUACGAGACGGCGUCGCGACGACGCGACUAG